CCUACGGGCGGCAGCAGUGAGGAAUAUUGGUCAAUGGACGAGAGUCUGAACCAGCCAAGUAGCGUGAAGGAUGACUGCCCUAUGGGUUGUAAACUUCUUUUAUAUGGGAAUAAAAUGUUCCACGUGUGGGAUUUUGUAUGUACCAUAUGCAUAAGGAUCGGCUAACUCCGUGCCAGCAGCCGCGGUAAUACGGAGGAUCCGAGCGUUAUCCGGAUUUAUUGGGUUUAAAGGGAGCGUAGGUGGAUUGUUAAGUCAGUUGUGAAAGUUUGCGGCUCAACCGUAAAAUUGCAGUUGAAACUGGCAGUCUUGAGUACAGUAGAGGUGGGCGGAAUUCGUGGUGUAGCGGUGAAAUGCUUAGAUAUCACGAAGAACUCCGAUUGCGAAGGCAGUUCACUGGACUGCAACUGACACUGAGGCUCGAAAGUGUGGGUAUCAAACAGGAUUAGAUACCCCUGUAGUC
Molecule: ribosomal RNA, 460 nt
Filed under: uncultured bacterium
Lineage: Bacteria
Description: partial 16S ribosomal RNA
Rfam family: Bacterial small subunit ribosomal RNA
Source: RNAcentral